RNAcentral lists this ribosomal RNA (254 nucleotides) under uncultured bacterium. Its description in RNAcentral is "partial 16S ribosomal RNA". It matches the Rfam family "Bacterial small subunit ribosomal RNA", at positions 524 to 776 of the family's 1533-position model. The record is from RNAcentral.
UACGAAGGGGGCUAGCGUUGCUCGGAAUCACUGGGCGUAAAGCGCACGUAGGCGGAUAUUUAAGUCGGUGGUGAAAUCCUGGAGCUCAACUCCAGAACUGCCUCCGAUACUGAAUGUCUUCGAGUCCGGGAGAGGUGAGUGGAACUGCGAGUGUAGAGGUGAAAUUCGUAGAGAUUGGGUGGAACACCAGUGGCGAAGGCGCCUGCCUGGCUGAUUACUGACGCUGAGACUCGAAAGCAUGGGGAGCAAACAGG